GUUGUUUUCUCGAAAAUCAAUUUAAUGAGUUCUUGUUUUUAAGUUAUUGUGACUUUAUCAGCGCAUUUCUUAUUUUACUUGACUCAUUGAAUGCACUUUUCGUUUAACAAGUCAACAUCAAUUUCUUUGGUGGUAAAAAGUUUAAAGGAAGGUGGCUUGGACUUCGGUUCAAGUGUUUAUAGCCUUUUUUCUAUGCCAUCGGAGAGAUUGAGGUCUGCAGCGUAGAUCCUUCGGGGUUAGAUACCUUUGUGCUAAGUUAUAGUUUUUUAUAGACAACUUGUUGACUAUAAUUAACCCUGUAAUUUACUCGCUUAGGCUAUUUUACCUAC
This 329-nucleotide ribosomal RNA is filed under the name uncultured Neocallimastigales. RNAcentral's name for it is "partial large subunit ribosomal RNA". The record is from RNAcentral. Lineage: Eukaryota; Fungi; Neocallimastigomycota; Neocallimastigomycetes; Neocallimastigales.